RNAcentral lists this unclassified non-coding RNA (583 nucleotides) under Nephelochloa orientalis. RNAcentral describes it as "sequence contains ITS1, 5.8S rRNA gene and ITS2". The stretch from base 211 to 366 matches the Rfam family "5.8S ribosomal RNA". The record is from RNAcentral. Lineage: Eukaryota; Viridiplantae; Streptophyta; Magnoliopsida; Poales; Poaceae.
ACAAAACAGACGUGCACGCGUUAUCUAUCCGUCCAGGCGGCGGCACCGUUCGUCGCUUGGCCAAAGUCCUCAAAAACCUCCUCUCCUCGGAGCGGGGGCUUGGGGUAAAAGAACCCACGGCGCCGAAGGCGUCAAGGAACACUGUGCCUAACCCGGGGACGCGGCUGGCUUGCUAGCUGCCCCCGUGUUGCGAUGCUAUAUAAUCCACACGACUCUCGGCAACGGAUAUCUCGGCUCUCGCAUCGAUGAAGAACGUAGCGAAAUGCGAUACCUGGUGUGAAUUGCAGAAUCCCGCGAACCAUCGAGUCUUUGAACGCAAGUUGCGCCCGAGGCCACCUGGCCGAGGGCACGCCUGCCUGGGCGUCACGCUAAAUACGCUCCCACACCCCUCAUCGGGCAGUGGGAUGCGGCAUAUGGCCCCCCGUCACGCAAGAGGCGGUGGGCCGAAAAUGCGGCUGCUGGCGUAUCGUGCCGGACACAGCGCGUGGUGGGCGAMCUCGCUUUACUUACCGCAAUGCAUCCGACACGUAACCGACGUGAUGGCCUUAACGGACCCUAUGAACGGAGCGCAUGACUUUCGACC